GUUCCGGCUAGGCGACGGAGCCGCCGGCGGUGUUGGUGAUGUGCGGGUCGAAACCUUCGGCACGCAGGUUGUUCAGCACCAUCCUGGAAUG
Molecule: transfer RNA, 91 nt
Filed under: Glutamicibacter protophormiae
Lineage: Bacteria; Bacillati; Actinomycetota; Actinomycetes; Micrococcales; Micrococcaceae
Description: tRNA-Asn
Source: RNAcentral